AGCUUGCUCUCUGGGUGGCGAGUGGCGGACGGGUGAGGAAUACAUCGGAAUCUACUCUGUCGUGGGGGAUAACGUAGGGAAACUUACGCUAAUACCGCAUACGACCUACGGGUGAAAGCAGGGGAUCUUCGGACCUUGCGCGAUUGAAUGAGCCGAUGUCGGAUUAGCUAGUUGGCGGGGUAAAGGCCCACCAAGGCGACGAUCCGUAGCUGGUCUGAGAGGAUGAUCAGCCACACUGGAACUGAGACACGGUCCAGACUCCUACGGGAGGCAGCAGUGGGGAAUAUUGGACAAUGGGCGCAAGCCUGAUCCAGCCAUACCGCGUGGGUGAAGAAGGCCUUCGGGUUGUAAAGCCCUUUUGUUGGGAAAGAAAUCCAGCCGGCUAAUACCUGGUUGGGAUGACGGUACCCAAAGAAUAAGCACCGGCUAACUUCGUGCCAGCAGCCGCGGUAAUACGAAGGGUGCAAGCGUUACUCGGAAUUACUGGGCGUAAAGCGUGCGUAGGUGGUCGUUUAAGUCCGUUGUGAAAGCCCUGGGCUCAACCUGGGAACUGCAGUGGAUACUGGGCGACUAGAGUGUGGUAGAGGGUAGCGGAAUUCCUGGUGUAGCAGUGAAAUGCGUAGAGAUCAGGAGGA
Molecule: ribosomal RNA, 635 nt
Filed under: bacterium 28BL
Lineage: Bacteria
Also listed under: 1 other name
Description: bacterial SSU rRNA
Rfam family: Bacterial small subunit ribosomal RNA
Source: RNAcentral